Molecule: transfer RNA, 72 nt
Filed under: Pteropus alecto (black flying fox)
Lineage: Eukaryota; Metazoa; Chordata; Mammalia; Chiroptera; Pteropodidae
Rfam family: tRNA
About the family: Transfer RNA (tRNA) molecules are approximately 80 nucleotides in length.
Source: Rfam by way of RNAcentral
GGCUCAUAGUGUAGUGUUAGCACAUCUGCUUUAUGUGCAGAAGGUCCUGGGUUCGUGCCUUAGGUGGAGCCA